Molecule: ribosomal RNA, 571 nt
Filed under: uncultured bacterium
Lineage: Bacteria
Description: bacterial SSU rRNA
Rfam family: Bacterial small subunit ribosomal RNA
Source: RNAcentral
UCCUACGGGAGGCAGCAGUGGGGAAUAUUGCACAAUGGGCGGAAGCCUGAUGCAGCAACGCCGCGUGCGGGAUGACGGCCUUCGGGUUGUAAACCGCUUUCGCCUGUGACGAAGCGUGAGUGACGGUAGUGGGUAAAGAAGCACCGGCUAACUACGUGCCAGCAGCCGCGGUGAUACGUAGGGUGCGAGCGUUGUCCGGAUUUAUUGGGCGUAAAGGGCUCGUAGGUGGUUGAUCGCGUCGGAAGUGUAAUCUUGGGGCUUAACCCUGAGCGUGCUUUCGAUACGGGUUGACCUGAGGAAGGUAGGGGAGAAUGGAAUUCCUGGUGGAGCGGUGGAAUGCGCAGAUAUCAGGAGGAACACCAGUGGCGAAGGCGGUUCUCUGGGCCUUUCCUGACGCUGAGGAGCGAAAGCGUGGGGAGCGAACAGGCUUAGAUACCCUGGUAGUCCACGCUGUAAACGGUGGGUACUAGGUGUGGGGUCCAUUCCACGGGUUCCGCGCCGUAGCUAACGCUUUAAGUACCCCGCCUGGGGAGUACGGCCGCAAGGCUAAAACUCAAAUGAAUUGACGGAA